This 468-nucleotide ribosomal RNA is filed under the name uncultured bacterium. RNAcentral describes it as "partial 16S ribosomal RNA". It matches the Rfam family "Bacterial small subunit ribosomal RNA", at positions 28 to 507 of the family's 1533-position model. The record is from RNAcentral.
GACGAACGCUGGCGGCGUGCUUAACACAUGCAAGUCGAACGGAAAGGCCCUGCUUUUGUGGGGUGCUCGAGUGGCGAACGGGUGAGUAACACGUGAGUAACCUGCCCUUGACUUUGGGAUAACUUCAGGAAACUGGGGCUAAUACCGGAUAGGAGCUCCUGCUGCAUGGUGGGGGUUGGAAAGUUUCGGCGGUUGGGGAUGGACUCGCGGCUUAUCAGCUUGUUGGUGGGGUAGUGGCUUACCAAGGCUUUGACGGGUAGCCGGCCUGAGAGGGUGACCGGCCACAUUGGGACUGAGAUACGGCCCAGACUCCUACGGGAGGCAGCAGUGGGGACUAUUGCACAAUGGGCGGAAGCCUGAUGCAGCAACGCCGCGUGCGGGAUGACGGCCUUCGGGUUGUAAACCGCUUUCGCCUGUGAUGAAGCGUGAGUGACGGUAAUGGGUAAAGAAGCACCGGCUAACUACGUG